AGUAGCUUGACGAGCACAAAGCGAACUAUUCUUUCGCCUUUUACUAAAGAAUACCGUGUGCUCGUCAUUUUAAGUUACAUACCUUCAUUUUUGGAGCGGUUGUUUCAUUAUGAUU
This 115-nucleotide small nuclear RNA is filed under the name Cephalotus follicularis. Its description in RNAcentral is "U5 spliceosomal RNA". It matches the Rfam family "U5 spliceosomal RNA". Rfam says of the family: U5 RNA is a component of both types of known spliceosome. The precise function of this molecule is unknown, though it is known that the 5' loop is required for splice site selection and p220 binding, and that both the 3' stem-loop and the Sm site are important for Sm protein binding and cap methylation. The record is from Rfam by way of RNAcentral. Lineage: Eukaryota; Viridiplantae; Streptophyta; Magnoliopsida; Oxalidales; Cephalotaceae.